AUGAAAAUAGAAGACUUCCCAAGUCUGGGUGCCUCUAGUUCCCAAAACCAGUGUUAUUCAUGGCCAGGUGUGAACAUGAACCUCCCAAGCUUAGAAGAUACCUUGAAAGGAAAGCAUGUGGGUGCAGCCAUUGGUUCAAAAUUCUUUGUUGCAAAUGAGGAAACAAGGCAUAACAAUCCACACAUCCACACAAAAUAUGAUAGAAGCAAUGGCAUGGAAUGCUUCAUACAUGAGAAACAUGGUGUUGAUUCUUCUACCGCACAUGAUCAAUACGGCUAUAGCAUCCGCAAUCCACAAACAUUUGCAGCGUCCAACUCCAAUGCUGCAUUCAAAUCUUUAUGGCAAAGCAACACCAAAGAUUACACAACUAGGAGGUAUUAUGAUGACACCAAAGUGCGCAAUGGUCAUAAUGGUCGCCUUCCAACAUUACAAGAAUAUUGUCACCUUCCAACACCAAAGAUUACACAACUAGGAGGGGAUCAAUAUCAAAAGCAAUCCCAAUUCUAUAAUUGUCCAAAGGACGUGAAUCUGAGCAAUGGUCCUCAAGAUGCAACUACCACUCUGGAACAAGCAAGAGAUGAUACCCCAAUGGAAAUCUCGUGGGUGAAAAAGAAGUUGCUAAACAUGAGGAAGGAAAUCUGCAGGAAGAAGUCACAAGUGCCAUCAAAUUAUGUAGUUGGGCAUCCCCAGAUUUUUCAUGGUUCCAUGGUUUAUUCAGAAGGUAAUACAAGAAUUCUUGGUUUCCCUAUUAAUGAAACCACCGAUAAAGAUUCUCAAGUCUCAAGCACUAUGCACAUGGGCACAGAUAGCACACCCUCGAGUAAGGGUGUAGCUCAUAGGGAAAUGCAAUUCCAGAACAAGGAUGACACCAAUGCCAGGAAUCUCAUUGACCUGAAUGUUGCACUGCCUUUCAUUGAUGAAAUGGAGAUAGAUGCCCGCCUAUCAGAAGCUGACACCGUUCCUCAAGAACAAGAUGAUUCUUCCAACGAAGCUCUUGUUGUGACUGCUGCGAAAAAUCUUAUGGCCAUGCAUAAGGAUAAGUUCCAAGCAGGAUCACCUCCAGGUAAUAUGGAUGAUGAUGACUUUGAAGCUUUGAAAAUGUAG
This 1104-nucleotide ribosomal RNA is filed under the name Triticum aestivum (bread wheat). RNAcentral describes it as "partial small subunit ribosomal RNA". Lineage: Eukaryota; Viridiplantae; Streptophyta; Magnoliopsida; Poales; Poaceae. The record is from RNAcentral.